GCCUCCUUAACACAGUGGUAGUGCGCUGGUGUCGUAAAACAGAGGUCGUGAGUUCAAACCUCACAGGAGGCG
This is a non-coding RNA of Zootermopsis nevadensis, 72 nucleotides long. The record is from Rfam. NCBI's taxonomy places the organism in Eukaryota, Metazoa, Arthropoda, Insecta, Blattodea, Termopsidae.